This is a long non-coding RNA of Brassica oleracea var. oleracea, 1606 nucleotides long. RefSeq lists it as uncharacterized. The record is from RefSeq and is a predicted model, not a curated record. The transcript has 4 exons. Lineage: Eukaryota; Viridiplantae; Streptophyta; Magnoliopsida; Brassicales; Brassicaceae.
UUGAUGAAAGGGAUCGCGGACUCUUCAUCUUCAUUUUCGUCGUAUACGAUUCAUGUGAUAUACGAUCAUACGAAGAGUCUUCAAGAGAUAAUUAUAAAUAGAUAUCGAUGGAUUUGAACCAAAAUCAAAAGUCGGCUACCUUCUUCCGACGGAUCUGAAGCAUCCAUUCGUCUUCCACUGAUUCCUCAUCAAAUCUCUCUCAAAACCCCUAAAUCGCUCACACAUCUCUCUUUUUCACGGUUGUUCUCUGGUGUGGCUAGAGCUGUUACUACUAUCGCAGCAGGCACUGUCACGUCUUUGCGCUCUGGGAAGGAUGAGCAGAUGGCUAAAACGAUGUGGUGAUUACUUCUGCCGGCAAACUUUGCGGAUACUCACUGCCGGUGUAACCACAGGUUUAAGAGGAGUGGUGACAUUGAGGACUAAUAAAGAAAGUUUGGAACAUUGCAUCAGUGAUUCCACUGGAUAAAAUGACUCACUGCUCUGAAAGAUGAACCAACGUUAAUAUGGUACCAGUGGAGGCUCGAGUAGUAGUCACAGUGGCAAACUUAUGGUAGCAGAGAAUGGCUCGCAAGAGGCUGUAAACUUCUCAAACGUACUCGCCAAGGUAACAAAGAUAAUUUUUUUUUUUUUAGUUACAUUUUUGUUCUUGAAUAUUUGCCUAUUGCUUUGUUACUUUUGCAAGUGAUCUCCACUUGAAAAAUAGCCAUGUUUACACCAACAAGAUGAAUCAGUUGCAAGAUCGUUGAUUUGAUGAAUAAGGUAUAAGAGGCCAAAUUAUUUAUGAACAGUGGGUAAUCUCUAGCUAGCUUCACAUGGAUGUGAACUUUGUUAUCAAACACAUAGUAAUAUUCCAAAUGGCGGGAUAAGAGGACAAAUCAGAAGCAAAAAUAAAGCUGAUAAAAAGCAUUCUUUAUGACAAUGAUGAUGAAAAUGAAGUGUUAUGGGAUCCACAUUUGUCUCUUACUCAAGCUUCUUCGUUGAGAAUCACGAAAUGGAAGACUGUAAAAGAUUAAUAGGCGUGAAGCAGCUCUCAAGUAUCUUAAAGAUUUCAAGUGGAAUAGAGUUGAAUAAUCUAAAAAGUUCACGUUUGAGCUUUUCUUUGUAGCCUAUUGCGCUGAAGAACAAUGAAAUUUCCGAUGACGAGGUUCCUUAUUAGGAUAUGUUUUUUUUAAAUGUUAUUCUCUUUAUUGAUGUUUUCCCAUGCUUAUAGCUAAAUAAGCAAGAAAAAGGAGCUCUCAGAUGCAACCAUCGCUAUCAAUUUCACCGCCUCACCCAGUUUGUUAAAAUGAUUGAAGACUGUUAAUCCGGUACCGCUUUAGCUCUUCAGCCUCUGGAGCUACAAACAACUCAUGUCAUUUGCAAAUACGAGAUGAUGAUGGAAAUAGAGAAGGUUAUUAAGAGAUAUAAACAGAUUUUCAUACUCCAGAACAAAAAGAAGCCAACAGAAACUACACUAACUCAAACUUCCCCUCGGAGUUUUAUCUCCAUUCUCUGCAUUAUUAUUGAAGCCAAUAUUUUUAAUACAAUGGAGUAUUCUUUUAAACGGGAUACCUCCAGUUUUUGCUAUAAUAGUUUUGAAACUCACAAGGUCGUCAACAAUGGUCAA